RNAcentral lists this ribosomal RNA (496 nucleotides) under uncultured bacterium. RNAcentral describes it as "partial 16S ribosomal RNA". It matches the Rfam family "Bacterial small subunit ribosomal RNA", at positions 28 to 507 of the family's 1533-position model. The record is from RNAcentral.
GAUGAACGCUGGCGGCGUGCCUAAUACAUGCAAGUCGAGCGAACAGAUGAGGAGCUUGCUCCUCUGACGUUAGCGGCGGACGGGUGAGUAACACGUGUAUAACCUACCUAUAAGACUGGGAUAACUUCGGGAAACCGGAGCUAAUACCGGAUAAUAUAUUGAACCGCAUGGUUCAAUAGUGAAAGACGGUUUUGCUGUCACUUAUAGAUGGUUCCGCGCGGCAUUAGCUAGUUGGUAAGGUAACGGCUUACCAAGGCAACGAUGCGUAGCCGACCUGAGGGGGGGAUGGCGGCCCGGGGAGUUGAAAGGCGGCCCGGCGACUGAGGGGAGGCCGAGAGAGGGAAGCUUCGCAAAAGGGGGAAAGCUUGCAGAAUGGGCGCCAGGGUGGUGAAGAAGCGCUGCGUGCGGGAAAACGGCGUUUUGGGGGAAAACCAAAUGUGAAUGUAACGAAGCGGGUUUGACGGGAACCAAUAAAGAAGCCCCGGCUAACUACGUG